GUCCAUCCAGUAGGAUGUAGUAGUGUGUCACACUCUAGCAGCACAGUCCAUCCAGUAGGUAGUAGUAGUGUCACACUCUAGCAGCACAGUCCAUCCAGUAGGUAGUAAUAGUGUCACACUCUAGCAGCACAGUCCAUCCAGUAGGUAGUAGUAGUGUCACACUCUAGCAGCACAGUCCAUCCAGUAGGUAGUAGUAGUAGUGUCACACUCUAGCAGCACAGUCCAUCCAGUAGGUAGUAGUAGUAGUGUAUCACUCUAGCAGCACAGUCCAUCCAGUAGGUAGUAAUAGUGUCACACUCUAGCAGCACAGUCCAUCCAGUAGGUACUAGUAGUGUAUCACUCUAGCAGCACAGUCCAUCCAGUAGGUAGUAGUAGUGUGUCACACUCUAGCAGCACAGUCCAUCCAGUAGGAUGUAGUAGUGUGUCACACUCUAGCAGCACAGUCCAUCCAGUAGGUAGUAGUAGUAGUGUCACAUUCUAGCAGCACAGUCCAUCCAGUAGGAUGUAGUAGUGUGUCACACUCUAGCAGCACAGUCCAUCCAGUAG
RNAcentral lists this long non-coding RNA (546 nucleotides) under Salmo salar (Atlantic salmon). Its description in RNAcentral is "lncRNA (ENSSSAG00000111998.1)". The record is from RNAcentral. Lineage: Eukaryota; Metazoa; Chordata; Actinopteri; Salmoniformes; Salmonidae.